GACGAACGCUGGCGGCGUGCUUAACACAUGCAAGUCGAACGGAAAGGCCCUGCUUUUGUGGGGUGCUCGAUUGGCGAACGGGGGAGUAACACGUGAGUAACCUGCCCUUGACUUUGGGAUAACAUUAGGAAACUGGGGCUAAUAUCGGAUAGGAGCUCCUGCUGCAUGGUGGGGGUUGGAAAGUUUCGGCGGUUGGGGAUGGACUCGCGGCUUAUCAGCUUGUUGGGGGGGUAGUGGCUUCCGAAGGUUUUGAAGGGUAGCCGGCCUGAGAGGGUGAACGGCCACCAUGGGACUACGGGACGGCGCAGACUGCAACGGGAGGCAAUAGGCGGGAAUAUUGCACAAUGGGCCGGAGCCUGAUACGACAGCCCCCCGUGCGUAAAGACGGCUUUCGGGGUAAAAACCGCUGUCGCCUGUGACGAAGUGUGAGUGACGGUAAUGAGUAAAGAAGCACCGGCUAACUACGUG
Molecule: ribosomal RNA, 468 nt
Filed under: uncultured bacterium
Lineage: Bacteria
Description: partial 16S ribosomal RNA
Rfam family: Bacterial small subunit ribosomal RNA
Source: RNAcentral